This 301-nucleotide ribosomal RNA is filed under the name uncultured bacterium. RNAcentral describes it as "partial 16S ribosomal RNA". It matches the Rfam family "Bacterial small subunit ribosomal RNA", at positions 509 to 807 of the family's 1533-position model. The record is from RNAcentral.
CAGUCGCCGCGGGAAUGCGAAGGGGGCUAGCGUUGCUCGGAAUGACUGGGCGUAAAGGGCGCGUAGGCGGCGGCCAAAGUCAGGCGUGAAAUUCCCGGGCUCAACCUGGGGGCUGCGUUUGAUACUUGGUUGCUUGAGUGGGGAAGAGGGUCGUGGAAUUCCCAGUGUAGAGGUGAAAUUCGUAGAUAUUGGGAAGAACACCGGUGGCGAAGGCGGCGACCUGGUCCUUUACUGACGCUGAGGCGCGAAAGCGUGGGGAGCAAACAGGAUUAGAUACCCGCGUAGUCCCUGUCUCUUAUAC